This 96-nucleotide signal recognition particle RNA is filed under the name Spinactinospora alkalitolerans. RNAcentral describes it as "Marinactinospora sp. CXB654 Bacterial small signal recognition particle RNA". It matches the Rfam family "Bacterial small signal recognition particle RNA". Rfam says of the family: The signal recognition particle (SRP) is a universally conserved ribonucleoprotein involved in the co-translational targeting of proteins to membranes. The record is from Rfam by way of RNAcentral. Lineage: Bacteria; Bacillati; Actinomycetota; Actinomycetes; Streptosporangiales; Nocardiopsidaceae.
GACAGCCCCUCGCGCGGCGUCACCUUAUGAACCUCCCCAGGGCCGGAAGGCAGCAAGGAUAAGUAAGCUCUGGCGGGUGCGCGGGGGGUCUUUCUG